AACGAACGCUGGCGGCAGGCUUAACACAUGCAAGUCGAACGCUCGGAGCAAUCCGGGAGUGGCGGACGGGUGAGUAACGCGUGGGAACGUGCCCUGAGGUAGGGAAUAACUGCGGGAAACUGCAGCUAAUACCCUAUGAGCCCAUAGCAAUAUGGGGAAAGAUUUAUCGCCUUGGGAGCGGCCCGCGUCGGAUUAGCUAGUUGGUGGGGUAACGGCCUACCAAGGCUUCGAUCCGUAGCNGGUCUGAGAGGACGAUCAGCCACACUGGGACUGAGACACGGCCCAGACUCCUACGGGAGGCAGCAGUGGGGAAUCUUGCGCAAUGGGCGAAAGCCUGACGCAGCCAUGCCGCGUGAACGAUGAAGGCCUUAGGGUUGUAAAGUUCUUUUGCCCGUGACGAUGAUGACGGUAACGGGAGAAUAAGCUCCGGCUAACUUCGUGCCAGCCGCCGCCGUAAU
Molecule: ribosomal RNA, 458 nt
Filed under: uncultured bacterium
Lineage: Bacteria
Description: bacterial SSU rRNA
Rfam family: Bacterial small subunit ribosomal RNA
Source: RNAcentral